Molecule: ribosomal RNA, 1169 nt
Filed under: Heterodera glycines (soybean cyst nematode)
Lineage: Eukaryota; Metazoa; Nematoda; Chromadorea; Rhabditida; Heteroderidae
Also listed under: 1 other name
Description: SSU rRNA
Rfam family: Eukaryotic small subunit ribosomal RNA
Source: RNAcentral
UCUGGUUGAUCCUGCCUGAACUGAUGUGUUCAUUUCAAAGAUUAAGCCAUGCAUGUGUAAGUUUAACCUGCCAGACAGGGAAACUGCGUACGGCUCAUUACACCAGCUAUAAUUUACUUGACCUUGACUUCUUACUUGGAUAACUGUGGUAAUUCUAGAGCUAAUACAUGCACCAAAGCUCCAAUCUCCCCAGAGCGGAGCGCAUUUGUUCGCCACAAAACCAAGCGCCCUCCGGGCGUCCAGUGUUGACUCAGAACAACUAAGCUGAUCGCACGGUCUUGACCCGGCGACGUGUCUUUCAAGUGUCUGCCUUAUCAACUUUCGAUGGUAGUGUAUCUGACUACCAUGGUGAUGACGGGUAACGGAGGAUAAGGGUUCGACUCCGGAGAAGGGGCCUGAGAAAUGGCCACUACGUCUAAGGAUGGCAGCAGGCGCGCAAAUACCCACUCUCAACGCGAGGAGGUAGUGACGAGAAAUAACGAGACCGAUCUCUUAUGAGGCCGGUCAUCGGAAUGGGUACAAUUUAAACCCUUNAACGAGUAUCUAUGAGAGGGCAAGUCUGGUGCCAGCAGCCGCGGUAAUUCCAGCUCUCAAAAUGCAUAGAAUUAUUGCUGCGGUUAAAAAGCUCGUAGUUGGAUCUGUGCUAGCCGUCCGGUGCACACUUUGUGUGUUACUGGUUUGGUUGGCUUUUCUGCCGGUCUUUCCCCGGCGUUGGCCUUUACCGGUCGGCGUCGGUGGGCUGGCGAGUUUACUUUGAACAAAUCAGAGUGCUUCAAACAGGCGUUUCGCUUGAAUGUUCGUGCAUGGAAUAAUAGAAGAGGAUUUCGGUCCGAUUUUAUUGGUUUUGCUGACCGAGAUAAUGGUUAACAGAGACAAACGGGGCCAUUCGUAUUGCUACGUGAGAGGUGAAAUUCUUGGACCGUAGCAAGACGGACUACAGCGAAAGCAUUUGGCAAGAAUGUCUUCAUUAAUCAAGAACGAAAGUCAGAGGUUCGAAGGCGAUCAGAUACCGCCCUAGUUCUGACCGUAAACGAUGCCAACUAGCGAUCCGCCGGCGGAUUUAUUCGCCCUGGUGGGGAGCUUCCCGGAAACGAAAGUCUUCCGGUUCCGGGGGAAGUAUGGUUGCAAAGCUGAAACUUAAAGGAAUUGACGGAAGGGCACCACCAGGA